GAUGAACGCUGGCGGCGUGCCUAAUACAUGCAAGUCGAGCGAACAGAUAAGGAGCUUGCUCCUUUGACGUUAGCGGCGGACGGGUGAGUAACACGUGGGUAACCUACCUAUAAGACUGGGGUAACUUCGGGAAACCGGAGCUAAUACCGGAUAACAUUUGGAACCGCAUGGUUCUAAAGUGAAAGAUGGUUUUGCUAUCACUUAUAGAUGGACCCGCGCCGUAUUAGCUAGUUGGUAAGGUAACGGCUUACCAAGGCAACGAUACGUAGCCGACCUGAGAGGGUGAUCGGCCACACUGGAACUGAGACACGGUCCAGACUCCUACGGGAGGCAGCAGUAGGGAAUCUUCCGCAAUGGGCGAAAGCCUGACGGAGCAACGCCGCGUGAGUGAUGAAGGGUUUCGGCUCGUAAAACUCUGUUAUUAGGGAAGAACAAAUGUGUAAGUAACUAUGCACAUCUUGACGGUACCUAAUCAGAAAGCCACGGCUAACUACGUGCCAGCCGCCGCAGUAA
Molecule: ribosomal RNA, 513 nt
Filed under: uncultured bacterium
Lineage: Bacteria
Description: partial 16S ribosomal RNA
Rfam family: Bacterial small subunit ribosomal RNA
Source: RNAcentral